CAUCAAACCUCAGAUCCUACAUCCAUGGCACUUCUACUCUGGCCAAUAGACACACAUAUGAAAGCUGUAAUAUGGACGCUGAGUAUACCAACAGCAAAAUCAGGCGUAAGCUCCCGAGAGCUUAGUUACAGAGACAGAACUUGAAUGCAUGCAGUAAGGAGAAGAAAGGAACUUGUUCUGCUUUAAGGCAUCCUAAUUGCAAGUCCUGCUUAGAACACAUGGACAGAGCCAGGAGCCAAGAGAAGAACAAAGGACAGUUGCUCCAAGUGUUCCUUCCCAAGCUGAUCAAGGCUCUUGGGUUCAAUGGAGAGAUUCAACAGUGUAAAGCACGGACUGGAGAAGGCACAGCAUGCAGUGAAUGUCUUAUCUUAGGCAAGCCCUGGGCACGAGAAAAGAAAGGUUGCCUGGAGCCAUUUUAGAAGAAACUAAAAUAGAAGCUGAGAGAUACAGAUACAAUGGAUCAAUGAAAAUUAGGGGGAGAUCUACCUCUCUGGGCUUCCCUGCCCAAUGCCUUCCUAAGACUUAAAACUGCUGAGGGACAUGAAGGUUUUUCUUUCCCUACCAUAACCCCAUAAAUAUAUGAAGGUAAUAUGUACCAUUAUCCCAAGAGCA
This is a long non-coding RNA of Mastomys coucha (southern multimammate mouse), 612 nucleotides long. RefSeq lists it as uncharacterized. The record is from RefSeq and is a predicted model, not a curated record. Lineage: Eukaryota; Metazoa; Chordata; Mammalia; Rodentia; Muridae. The transcript is spliced from 2 exons.